AGCUAGUUGGUAGGGUAAGAGCCUACCAAGGCGACGAUGGAUAGCCGGCCUGAGAGGGUGAUCGGCCACACUGGGACUGAGACACGGCCCAGACUCCUACGGGAGGCAGCAGCUAAGAAUCUCCCGCAAUGGGCGAAAGCCUGACGGAGCGACGCCGCGUGGACGAAGAAGGCCGAAAGGUUGUAAAGUCCUUUUCUUAGGGAAGAAUAAUGUAAAGAAUGGAAUGCUUUACAGAUGACAUUAACUGAGGAAUAAGCCCCGGCCAAUUACGUGCCAGCAGCCGCGGUAAUACGUAUGGGGCGAGCGUUGUUCGGAAUUAUUGGGCGUAAAGGGCGUGUAGGCGGUUUUAUAAGCCUGGUGUGAAAUCCCACAGCUCAACUGUGGAGACGCGCUGGGAACUGUAAGACUAGAGUUCAGGAGGGGAUGCUGGAAUUCCUGGUGUAGGGGUGAAAUCUGUAGAUAUCAGGAAGAACACCGAUGGCGAAGGCAAGCAUCUGGCCAUGGACUGACGCUGAGGCGCGAAAGCGUGGGGAGCGAACAGGAUUAGAUACCCUGGUAGUCCACGCUGUAAACGAUGUGCACUGGGUGUAGGAGGCGUUGAGCUUUCUGUGCCGUAGCUAACGCGUUAAGUGCACCGCCUGGGGAGUAUGCUCGCAAGGGUGAAACUCAAAGGAAUUGACGGGGGCCCGCACAAGCGGUGGAGCAUGUGGUUUAAUUCGAUACGCGAGGAACCUUACCAGGGCUUGACAUGUACUUGAAGGCUUAAGAGAUUAAGUCGACCUUUAGGGGACGGGUACACAGGUGCUGCAUGGUUGUCGUCAGCUCGUGUCGUGAGAUGUUGGGUUAAGUCCCGCAACGAGCGCAACCCUUACUGUCUGUUGCCAGCAGGCCUUCGGGCGCUGGGGACUCAGGCAGAACUGCCGGUGACAAACCGGAGGAAGGUGGGGAUGACGUCAAAUCAUCAUGGCCCUUAUGUCCUGGGCUACACACGUGCUACAAUGGCCGGUACAAAGCGUUGCAAGACGGUGACGUCCUUAGCAAAUCGCAAAAAGCCGGUCUCAGUUCGGAUUGGAGUCUGAAACCCGACUCCAUGAAGUUGGAAUCGCUAGUAAUCGCGCAUCAGAAUGGCGCGGUGAAUAUGUUCCCGGGCCUUGUACACACCGCCCGUCACACCACCCGAGUUGGGGGUACCCGAAGUCGCUAGUCUAACUUUUAGAGGACGGUGCCGAAGGUAUGCCUGGUAAGGGGGGUGAAGUCGUAACAAGGUAGCCGUACCGGAAGGUGCGGCUG
This 1290-nucleotide ribosomal RNA is filed under the name metagenome. RNAcentral describes it as "bacterial SSU rRNA". It matches the Rfam family "Bacterial small subunit ribosomal RNA", at positions 243 to 1520 of the family's 1533-position model. The record is from RNAcentral.